This 240-nucleotide ribosomal RNA is filed under the name uncultured bacterium. RNAcentral describes it as "partial 16S ribosomal RNA". It matches the Rfam family "Bacterial small subunit ribosomal RNA", at positions 78 to 334 of the family's 1533-position model. The record is from RNAcentral.
CAAUGGAGUAAGUAAAGUGGCGUACGGGUGAGUAACACGUGGGUAUCUACCUUCUAGUGGGGGAUAACCCUGGGAAACCGGGGCUAAUACCGCAUAAUCUCGAAAGAGGAAAGGAGCAAUUCGCUGGAAGAGGAGCCCGCGGCUGAUUAGCUAGUUGGUGAGGUAAUGGCCCACCAAGGCUUUGAUCGGUAGCCGGCCUGAGAGGGCGCACGGCCACACUGGAACUGAAACACGGUCCAG